UUUGUUUUAAUUUAUUAAAAAACUAACUUCAGUGUAAUAACAGAAAAUUUUUUUUGUAAAAUAUAAAUGACAGAUUAUUUAUAUUGAUAAACAAUCGAAAAUAAUUUAAUCUUUAAUAUGUAAUUAAAAAAAAAAAAAAAAGUAUUGACAAUUGAAAAGUGACUAAACAGAAAGGAUGAUCAUCAGUAAAAGGACACCAUAUCAUCUUUUUCACACGAUUUCCCUUCAAGAUUUUCAGCCGGAAGUCAAAUAUCGACGGGGAAAAAAAAGUCAAACGUGUCAUUGGCAUCGACAAACGUUUCCCACCUCCUACACCUCGAGGGAAGAUUGAGUUCACUCAAGGACCAGAUUCACAUUUCGGAAUCAGGUUGAUGUUUAAUAUUGAAAAUUUGUUACGAUAAGAAACGAUUUCUGAAAAAUGUGUGCAAAAGGUCAGGAAUCUCGACCUCAUUUUCCUCGAAAAUCUCCAAUCGAGCCGCCAAGCUUUAUUGACAUCAUUUUUCAUCAACGUAAUGGACGAAGAUCGCAGUACUAUUUUACCAGUGGUCAUGAACACUUGGAAAAACCAACAAAUUCUGAUGAAGAACAAUUACCGUUUACUUUACCGCAAGGCAAACAUUUGUUGGCAUAUUUCCAUCGUUGGAAGACUAAGAAAACACUCACGUCUCAGAAGAAACGGAAAUUUGGCUACAGAAGCUUUCAAAAGCCCAAAAGUAUCCUGCCGAACUUGCAAGUAGAAUUGGAAUUAGAAAAAGAAGAAGAAUGUAAAGAUUCAAAUAAGGCAACAUCUAUGAUAGAUUUAGAUAAAAAUUACUUUAAAGAAUUGAAGGGACGUGGCUUAAGAAAACGAUUUUCAACUCGCCAAUACAUUGACGAUAUAAGAGAAGUUUUAGCUACCAGACUUUUAGCAGGUCAAGAACGUGAUGACUGUAUACGAAUCGAUCAACAAUUUGCCGAAGAGCAAAAAGUGUUAAACAAUAUAAAGAAAGAGUGUCGGAUGUACGCAAAAUCCUUCGAAGAAUUUUUAUCCAAAGAUCACGAUGAGAGUAUGAGGAUUUUAAAUGAAGCAUCCGAGGCGGAAAAAAGAACAGGAGAAAUGACUGCCGAAAAGAAUCAACUUUCAAGUGCCUAUGGGCAAGUCAGAUUAGAGGUCUAUUUUUGGGAAGAAGCAUGGAGAAUGGUUAAACAAUGCCAAAAGUUUCUUUACCAGAUUUCUCCAAUUUCUUGGCGAGAGAAACACGAUUGGAUUAAUAAAAAUAAAUAUCCUUUCUUUAAUUCAAUUACAGGACAAGCUAAAGAUAUUUUUAGUUCCACUCAAGAUAUUGACGAAUCGACAUCAAUAUUAUCGCUUAUCGAUAUGUUUGAACAAGAUAUAGAGAAUGCAAAACCACCUGAACUCUACUUUGAUGAUCCACUUGAUCUCAUUCGUGUCUUCAGGACGAUUGAAUUGCAAAAUCUUAAUGCCCUGAUUCAUCUGGAAUCAUUAGCGGGACCGAUGUCCGAUAUGGCUAUGACCAUAGCAGCGACUGAAGAUCAAAUUAAAUCUGAGAUCAAUGAAAUUGCCGAAGGAAUCAAGGAUCUUGAGGACUCUAUUAAAGCGGCGGAAGAUCGUGCAGCUAGUUUAGAACGAUAUGCAAAUUACCUAUUACAUGGUGUUUUUCGUGACUUGGUAUGUUCCGAGCAAGUUUUAUAUUUGCGUGUCUUCAUUGAAGACGCAUAUGAGGCUUGUGUUGCGCCAAACGACGCUAAUCUUGAUAGUUUCACAAUGAUGCGGUCGAUUGAGAAAACAUAUGAAGACUUAAGUCUUGAGCUAGACAGUUUGCCCCACAAGGUGGUUGUCGCUUGCGAGAAAAAGGGCUUCCGGGAUGAAAUGAAGCUUAUGAAAGAAGCUGAGGAUGCCACGAGAAAGUUUGAACUCAUGCACCGACUGUUGGGAGCUUUAAAACGAGUUAUGGAACCGCCAAAGCCAAAGAAACGACAAUUGAUGAGAAGAUCGGCACCUAAACAACAAAAAUCGAAAAUUGAUACUCCCUUACAACCACCAACAGAAGAUGAGAAGCAAUUUUUAAAUUUCUUUACAAAUUAUUGCCCGCAAGAUGAUCACAAUUCUUUUAGAGCUCAAUUUUCAGACGAUUUAAAUCGUCUUCUGAAAAACAAACAGUGCAAUGAUUCGGGUAUAAUUGGAGACAACAAAGAGACCGAAGAGUGUUCGUUUUUCAUUUGAUUAUCUAUGUGUGUGUGUGUUUGUAUGUAAUUACAGUCAAAUUUACGCUUCCAACGAAAUAAGUGUGUCAAUGACCUCUAUGAGUGACGUUUAAUCCCUACUCUUCGUAUAUAAAACCGAAUUUCAAAGUAAUGGUUGGCCCGUUUACACGACAAGUGACAUAUUUAUGUUGAUGCAGUGAAAAUUCUAAUCUUCAAAAUCAAUAAAUUUAGAUGAGCAUUUGAGUCAGCGAAAGUUUUCAUUAUAAUCUUCAAAGGGAAAGGAGGACGCUAUAAUGAGCGGUAAGUUGGUAUGCUGAAUAUGUAGUUUCAAAAAAUAAAUACCUCCUAAAAUUAAAAAAAAAAAAAAACUGAAACUUCUGCGCAUCUCUUGCAAAUUUUUCAAUACGAAAAUAGAAAAAAUUACUUUUGAAAUAGUAAAACUUUGGAAAUAGUAUUUUUAUUUUAUUUCCGGAGCAAAAGUCAGAAACUGACAUAUAUUUUAGAAUUUAGUUUGGAAGUGGUAAAAAUUCGUUUUCAAUUUUUUCUAUACGAUUAUUAUUGUUCUUCCGUGAUUCUAUGUAUUCAAAUAAAAAAAAAAAAAAAAAAGAAUAGAAAAAUGGCAUGCAAUAUUUUUGUAUGUAUUCAAAUACAAUCGCUGCAAUGAUCCAUCUAUUGUGUGUUACAUUAACCGGUGUAUAUAACUGAAGAAACGAAAGAUCGCGUGCUCUAUUGAUAAUAUUCAGGGUUUUUAACCCACUUUCUGCGCCUGAUCACUACUAGGAAGCUAUUUAAACCAGGAAGUGUUAGAUAUUUUCAUUUUCAUCCUCUUUUAACUUUGGAAAAUACAAGAGAAAUUUCACAAAUAAUAUUUUACGAACAAAAUUAGAUUUACUGCAUAUUAAUAU
This is an RNA transcript of Leptopilina boulardi, 3110 nucleotides long. It is a transcript of the gene named cilia- and flagella-associated protein 100-like, with no coding region annotated. Lineage: Eukaryota; Metazoa; Arthropoda; Insecta; Hymenoptera; Figitidae. The record is from RefSeq and is a predicted model, not a curated record. The transcript is spliced from 9 exons.